GACGAACGCUGGCGGCGUGCCUAAUACAUGCAAGUCGAGCGGACAAACGGGAACCUGGCUCUCCUUGUGAGCGGGGCAGGCGGGUGAAACACGUGUGCAACCCCCCUGUAUGAGUGGGAUAUCUCCUGGAGAACGGGGAGAUUAUCGGAUAAUAUCUUUUGACCCGUGUGGGUCAGCAGAAAGAUGGGGUCUGGCAUUCCCUACUGGUGGGCUCCGCGCGGGAUUGGCUAGUUGGUAGGUUAACGCCUUACCAGGGCAACGAUCGCUAGCCGACCUGAGAGGGUGAUCGGCCACACUGGAACUGAGACACGGUCCAGACUCCUACGGGAGGCAGCAGUAGGGAAUCUGCUGCAAUGGGCGAAAGCCUGACGGAGCAACGCCGCGUGAGUGAUGAAGGUCUUCGGAUCGUAAAACUCUGUUAUUAGGGAAGAACAUAUGUCGAAGUAACUGUGCAUAUCUUGACGGUACCUAAUCAGAAAGCCACGGCUAACUACGUG
RNAcentral lists this ribosomal RNA (497 nucleotides) under uncultured bacterium. RNAcentral's name for it is "partial 16S ribosomal RNA". It matches the Rfam family "Bacterial small subunit ribosomal RNA", at positions 28 to 507 of the family's 1533-position model. The record is from RNAcentral.